GCAAAUUUUGGUUUACAUGGGUUACUUGUACAAGUACUUGAAGGAAACAAACAGGGCUGAGUAUGUGUCGUUUGUGGAUCCCAACAAAAUACCAGCCGCUCAAGAUGGCAAUACCUCUUCACAACACAUUGCUAAUCAGUUGAAAGCAUCAAACGGAGACAGCAUAUGCCUUAUCCCAUACAACACUGGUUUGCAGGUUGUGUGAAGAACCAGUACUAUACGCAGAC
This is a long non-coding RNA of Zingiber officinale, 227 nucleotides long. RefSeq lists it as uncharacterized. The transcript has 3 exons. NCBI's taxonomy places the organism in Eukaryota, Viridiplantae, Streptophyta, Magnoliopsida, Zingiberales, Zingiberaceae. The record is from RefSeq and is a predicted model, not a curated record.